This 253-nucleotide ribosomal RNA is filed under the name uncultured bacterium. RNAcentral's name for it is "partial 16S ribosomal RNA". It matches the Rfam family "Bacterial small subunit ribosomal RNA", at positions 524 to 776 of the family's 1533-position model. The record is from RNAcentral.
UACGAAGGGGGCUAGCGUUGUUCGGAAUUACUGGGCGUAAAGCGCGUGUAGGCGGGGCUUUAAGUCAGGGGGGAAAUGCCAAGGCUCAACCUUGGAACUGCCUUUGAUACUGGAGAUCUUGAGUCCGGGAGAGGUGAGUGGAACUGCGAGUGUAGAGGUGAAAUUCGUAGAUAUCGGGAGGAACACCAGUGGCGAAGGCGGCUACCUGGACCAGCACUGACACUGAAGCACGAAAGCGUGGGGAGCAAACAGG